AAUAAUAUAAUUUAACUUUAAUUAGUAUUAAUAUAUAGGUAACUUAUAAAUUUUUAGGGGAAAUUUAUUAGGUGAAAUUUUAACUUUUUAAAGAAAUUUAUUAUUGCUUAUUAUUUGAGAAAUUUUAAAAUAAACUAGGAUUAGAUACCCUAUUAUUUAAAAUGUAAAUUUAUACUAGAUUAGUAUUAGUUAUGUUCUUAAAAAUUAAAGAUUUUGGCGGUUUUUUAGUCUAUUCAGAGGAACCUGUUCUAUAAUUGAUAAUCCACGAUUAGCUUGUCUUUAUUUUUUAGUUUAUAUAUCAUCGUAGAUUUGAAUAUUUUAAAAGGAAAUUAAUAUUCGGGAAGUAUUUUUUAAUAGAUAUCAGAUCAAGGUAUAGCUUAUAGUAAAGUAGAAAUGGGUUACAUUUAUUUAAAUUUAGGAUUAUUUAUUUAAAAUAGAUAUUAAUGUGGAUUUGAAAGUAAUUUUGUUAAUCUUAAUAAAAUGAUUUUAGCUCUAAAAUAUGCACAUAUCGCCCGUCACUUUCAUUUUAAGGUGAAAUAAGUCGUAACAAAGUAGAUUUACUGGAAAGUGAAUCUAGAAAGAACAAGUUAGAGUUUGUUAAAAAGCGUUUUAUUUACACUAAGAAGUUAAUUGUGAGACUCAGUUUUUCUUGAAAAGGAAAAAUUAUUAUUUAGUUAAAUUUAAUUUUUAUUAAUCAAAAUAGUUUAUUUUUCAGUAUUUGUAAUAGAAAUAAAAAAUUUAAUAAUAGAGAAUUAUUAUUGUGAAAGAAAUUUUUAAAUUAAUAUUAAGAAAAAAUUUUUUUU
RNAcentral lists this ribosomal RNA (803 nucleotides) under Phytoecia sibirica. RNAcentral's name for it is "partial 12S ribosomal RNA". Lineage: Eukaryota; Metazoa; Arthropoda; Insecta; Coleoptera; Cerambycidae. The record is from RNAcentral.